GACGAACGCUGGCGGCAUGCCUAAUGCAUGCAAGUUGAACGAUGAUGUUCUCUGCUUACAGAGAAUUGAAGAGUAGCGAACGGGUGAGCAACACGUGGGGAACCUGCCCAUGAGAGGGGGAUGACAUUCGGAAACGGAUGCUAAUACCGCAUAAUGCUUUGGACCGCCUGGUCCAGAGACGAAAGACGGCUUUUGCUGUCACUCAUGGAUGGCCCCGCGCCGUAUUAGCUAGUUGGUGAGGUAAUGGCUCACCAAAGCUGUGAUACGUAGCCGACCUGAGAGGGUGAUCGGCCACACUGGGACUGAGACACGGCCCAGACUCCUACGGGAGGCAGCAGUAGGGAAUCUUCCACAAUGGGCGAAAGCCUGAUGGAGCAAUGCCGCGUGAAUGAAGAAGGUCUUCGGAUCGUAAAGUUCUGUUAUUAGAGAAGAACAAGUCAAGGAAUAACUGUCUUGACUUUGACGGUACCUAACCAGAAAGUCACGGCUAACUACGUG
RNAcentral lists this ribosomal RNA (498 nucleotides) under uncultured bacterium. RNAcentral describes it as "partial 16S ribosomal RNA". It matches the Rfam family "Bacterial small subunit ribosomal RNA", at positions 28 to 507 of the family's 1533-position model. The record is from RNAcentral.